RNAcentral lists this ribosomal RNA (437 nucleotides) under uncultured eukaryote. RNAcentral's name for it is "bacterial SSU rRNA". It matches the Rfam family "Eukaryotic small subunit ribosomal RNA", at positions 1213 to 1658 of the family's 1831-position model. The record is from RNAcentral.
ACUCACCAGGUCAGGACACGGUAAGGAUUGACCGGACUGAAGGCUCCUUUUCUCGAUUCCGUGAAAGUGGUGCAUGGCCGUUUUUGGUUGGUGGAUCGAUCCGUCUGGUUAAUUCCGUUUAACGAACGAGACCUCGGCACUCCGAAUAGCGCGGCGGACGUCGCGGCCUCCGGGCCGUCUUCCGCACGAGCUUCUUAGAGGGACCGUCCCCCGCCGGGGAAGGAGGUGCGAGGCAACGACAGGUCUGUGAUGCCCUUAGAUGUUCUGGGCCGCACGCGCAUUACACUGACGCGUCCAACGGGUGACUCCCGACCCGAAGGGGCCGGGGAAUCCGCAAGGCGCGUCGUGAUGGGGAUUGAACGUUGCAAUUGUUGUUCACGAACGAGGAAUUCCUAGUAGGCGCGGGUCAUCAACCCGCGCCGAUUACGUCCCUACCC